GCUGCCUGAGGAGGACGUGGCGGAGGCAGCGGCCUCGGGUCAGUGGUUCUGUGGUACUCCAGCAGGAAGCAGUGAAAACAAUUGCGCUGGACACGUUCCCAGCUGUAGGAGUAAGGCAUGGACUAGAAUGAAAAUGCUGGGAUCACUAUCAGGAGUUGAAUUUGUGCUGCUGGGGUGCAAGGCCAAUGAGUUCUUUUUGAUAAACCUCCUCAUACACUGAACCUGCCCGAGUACCCAGUGAUGUCUCCAACAUUUCUGCUAAUGAAUGUUUUUUUCAUCUGAGGAAGCUCUUCACUCGCUGCUUCUUUUUCUCUUCUGUUAACCUGCACUCCUGCAGACAGGCAGGGAAAGUACCAGGUUGCAAGCCCAGGAUGGGUGGAUUUUUCAUUGUGUUAGAUUGGAAAGCUGGAGUUCGAACUUCUCAGUGAGUCUGGCAACUUCUUUGCUGUUUAGCUUUGGUAGCUAGUUGUAGGGUCAUGUUUUGUGUCAUAUCUUUUUUAGUUUUUCUUUUUAUUGAAUUAUUGGAAAGCAGGGUAGCAUUAGACUCAACAAUUGAAAUGAAUACACGAUGACCAGUGUAGGACAAAGACCAGUUCUGUAUUUUUGCAAACAUGUAUACCAAAAAUAUAUAUUUCUUAUUUUUGGACAACUUUUGGGCAUAAUUUCCAUCCACAUUUAAGUCUCCCUCCCUGUGAUAAAAAGAACUGAGAGUUACAAUGAAAUCAGAAUCUUUGAAAGGAGUGUAGGUGCUCAAAAUAAUCAGAAAUUAGCAGAAUAGAAAAAGGUAAUCACAGAGCCAAAAUAUCAAAACAAAAGAGCGAAGUGCUUGCAGUAGCCUUGUUGACUUUGCAUUACAGAUACCUAAGUGUUGGUUAAGUAAAUCCCACUUUCUCUGGGCCAGAAGGUAUUUUGUGAUUUACUGUAUAUUUACAAGAUGGUGGGGCUCUCCAGAGAGUUGUGUUCUCAGUUGUCCUUCUUCUCUAGCAAUGAGAACAUUCCCAGAUGAUGAUGAGAAAAAGUUACUUUAAGUUGUAUGUGGACUGAAAAAAAUACUUGCAAUGGCCUUCAUGAUGUCAUUGGACAUAAAGCCAGCUAAAUUCUUCCCAAAUCUGGAAACUAAAGCUUGGUUUUGGAUAAAAGACCUGGUUUUAAGUGUUCUUUGGUGCUGCCAAGGGGUCAGUCAGCCUUUAAAGCAUGUAGCACUCCUGCUGCUGUCAUGUCAGUUUAAGAACAGAAGCGGAGUCUCAAAGCUUUCUCAGCUACUAAUGAUGUUCUUCGGGGGCCAGGGAACUGACACUGGCUGGCACCGCUGGUGAACCUGGACCAGACAGACACACAGGCAAGUUGCCACCUGGGUUAGGGGCAGCACUUCUUGCCCACAACAUAAUGGUGUGAUUCCUGUGACUACCUACAUGAGGACAGUGAUAUUUUCCCCUCUUAGAAACACCCCUAAUAGCUCAAAGUCAUUAGACUGAGGCAGAGUCCACGACUUCUCACCACUCUCAGUGCAGACCAACUGGUGCUGAGAAUUAGUUCUCUGAGGCAGAAGUAGAGGCAAAUAUAUCUUUCCCUUUCACAGUUUCUUUGUUUCUCAUUUCUGCUACUUCUUGCUCUUUUCUAUUGACUGGUGAGGCCACCAGAGCUGUGGUUCAGGUUCACCUAAGUUAUGACACCUCCCUUUAUUUGCCUAUACAAAAGUCCACUUGUGACCUUUGUGUCUGAGCUGCUGCUACAGUCAGUGGGAUGUACACUUGGUGAAGUCCAGAAAUUGAUUCCAAUGAAAUUGAAUCCACAGAACGGCUUUUGUGUAGCUGAUUAAGCUGCCUAAGGGUAGGUGUCUAACGCCACUGGAAACUCCACAGGGCAACACAUCUUCACAUCUUGCUUCUGCUUACGAAGCCAUAAGGAGCACGGGUUUAUUUAGGCCUGGUAAUGAGAAACUGGGGUCUACCUUAUGUUUUCCUCUGCUAUUUUUUAAAAUGUUUGUUCUUCUAUGGUUGUCUUUGAUAUUUCCUGAUAAUAAUUCCUCAUGAGGCUUUUUGUCUCAGAUUAAGCCUAUUUCUAGGGAGAGUCUUUAUGAGGAGAGAGCAGAUUAUUUCUGGAGAGAAUUUGUAAUAGGGAAAUGUUGGCAGUGGUUACAGUUAUUAUUAAAAGUUGCAUGAGAAA
Molecule: long non-coding RNA, 2166 nt
Organism: Columba livia (rock pigeon)
Lineage: Eukaryota; Metazoa; Chordata; Aves; Columbiformes; Columbidae
Exons: 2
Source: RefSeq, a predicted model, not a curated record